This 1111-nucleotide long non-coding RNA is filed under the name Medicago truncatula (barrel medic). RNAcentral describes it as "long non-coding RNA (MTRU_LNC006984)". Lineage: Eukaryota; Viridiplantae; Streptophyta; Magnoliopsida; Fabales; Fabaceae. The record is from RNAcentral.
GGGAAAUGCCUGAAGGAGCUAAGAGGGAAGACAUUGACACUCAUGGUCAAGCCGGACUUAUUCAACACAAGAAAAAUCCUCUCUGUCUUGUUGCUAAGAAGCGAAUUGAAUGCGUGUGAUCUUGAACUUGCAUGUUAUGCUAUAUUUAUGUGAAGAAAAUAAAGCAUGCAUGAUGAGGUCUUUGAAGAGUGUCACCGGAAAUAGAGUAUUAUAGUUAAGUGAGUCUUCAUGAUUAAUAUUGUAAUAAAAGACUCUAUCCUUGUAUUAUAUGUUCAUAGAAAUAAAAAUCAUCUUUCUGUAUAGACUCUUCCUAUAGUUCUUUCAAUAAAGUUGUAUUAAAUCAGUCUCUCAGUAUUUGAUGAUUUGAAAGAGAAACUUUAAACUUUCAUAAGUGCUUUAAAUUGAGAACAAGUAUUCACAUAAUGAAGCAAACAACUAAGUGACUAGAAUAAGUUGACGGCUAUCCAAUAAAUUUGCCGAUGUUGCUCUUUACUCCUGUAUGCCCACAAUUCUGGAAAAACAUAAUACUCAAAUUGAAAUCUGGAAAUUGUUACCGCGUACUACACACACAAACCAAGCCUAUGGGGGCAUCUCGGUUAGUCAAGAUACAGUUCGGUUCGUAAAGGUAACAUCUCUGUUCUAUAAAGAUAGAACCUAUUUAUUCAAAACAGUGUUGUGUGGAAUAUGGCAGAAAACCCCAAUAAACACGCCAUUGCGGCCUAUGACAGCACCAUGGCCUCCAUUCAAAACAAUAUUGGUCCAAAAAGCGCAUAACCUGGUGCACUGAAUCUUAAAACAAGUUUGGUUCAGGACAAACCAUGAACUGUUCGGUUUUUACAAACUGUUUUUACGGUUCCAUUUGAUUUUCCUUCGUGAAACAAAUCAUGAAAAGUUGUACAAGUUAUCCCACUAGGGCUUGAGCUUAUCUACCGGCAUAAGUUUUGUGAUACUGUUUUGGACAACUUAUAAAAAUAGCUUAUGACAUUUUUCAUAAGCUUUUUUUUGUAAGUUCUCCAAAAUAGUUUAUGGAAACAACUUAUAGCAUAUACGAAAACAAUUUUAUUUUAUCUUUUGCCAUAGAAACAGAUUAUGUAAGCUUAUAGAUAAUCAC